Ostrea edulis (European flat oyster) is the source of this 577-nucleotide long non-coding RNA. RefSeq lists it as uncharacterized. NCBI's taxonomy places the organism in Eukaryota, Metazoa, Mollusca, Bivalvia, Ostreida, Ostreidae. The transcript has 4 exons. The record is from RefSeq and is a predicted model, not a curated record.
CAGGCAAUGGUUCUAAGGAUAUAAACGCCAGCUAUGGAGGUUGUGAAAUAAACGUCAGCUAUGAAGGUUGUGAAAUAAACGUCAGCUAUGGAGGUUGUGAAAUAAACGUCAGCUAUGGAGUUAGUGAAAUGUUUUGUUUUAACAUGUCUGCUACUGUGUGUAUUGCUCAAGUGUACCUUGAGUGAAAAAGAGAAUUGUCGAGGUGUUGCGUCAAUUGUGGGAUAUGUUGAGAGAUGUCCUACGUCAAAAGCGGAAGUAAAACUAGCGUCAGAAAAGAAGAACUGCGAUUUGUAUGCUAAAACCAAUCCUGCACAUCUCCAGAGAAAUUCAAGUUCCAUUGUGUUGUCAACACUUUUCUCAAUGAAACAAUAUCAGUUUGUGCACCUCAAUUGGUUAUAAAAGGCUUCUGCGCUGAAUACAAUGUCAAAGGUGAAAGGAUACAAGGUUUAUAUGAUGCAAUAUGUACUAAUCAUUCACCACCGUGUCCGGAUGUGUACCGUUCAACAGAUGCAUACAAAUAUCACUACUGUUGUGAUCUCGUGUACAACAAUCGAAAAGUUAUUUCCACGUCUCUAAA